This 68-nucleotide transfer RNA is filed under the name Scolytus schevyrewi. RNAcentral describes it as "tRNA-Gln". Lineage: Eukaryota; Metazoa; Arthropoda; Insecta; Coleoptera; Curculionidae. The record is from RNAcentral.
UACGUUUUAGUAUAUUAUGUACGUGAAACUUUGAUUUUCAAGGGGCAGCUUAUCGCUGUAAAAUGUGU